Molecule: ribosomal RNA, 484 nt
Filed under: uncultured bacterium
Lineage: Bacteria
Description: bacterial SSU rRNA
Rfam family: Bacterial small subunit ribosomal RNA
Source: RNAcentral
AGAGUUUGAUCCUGGCUCAGGAUGAACGCUGGCGGCGUGCCUAACCUAUGCAAGUCGAACGAGGCUUCGAGCCGAGUGGCGGACGAGUGAGUAACACGUACCUAACCUGCCCGUAAGUGGGGAAUAAUCCCGAGAAAUCGGGACUAAUACCGCAUGUGUCCUGGUGUUAAAACCAGGGUAAAGCUUUUGCGCUUACGGAUGGGGGUGCGUCCUAUCAGCUAGUUGGUAAGGUAAUGGCUUACCAAGGCUAUGACGGGUAGCUGGUCUGAGAGGAUGAUCAGCCACGCUGGGACUGAGAUACGGCCCAGACUCCUACGGGAGGCAGCAAGUGGGAAUAUUGCACAAUGGGCGAAAGCCUGAUGCAGCGACGCCGCGUGAGGGAUGAAGGUCUUCGGAUCGUAAACCUCUUUUAUCGGGGAGGAAGAUAUGACGUUACCCGAUGAAAAAGCACCUGCUAACUACGUGCCAGCCGCCGCGGUAAUUC